RNAcentral lists this ribosomal RNA (741 nucleotides) under uncultured bacterium. RNAcentral's name for it is "bacterial SSU rRNA". It matches the Rfam family "Bacterial small subunit ribosomal RNA", at positions 59 to 793 of the family's 1533-position model. The record is from RNAcentral.
CAGUCGUGGGGCAGCAGCUCUGUAGCAUACAGAGGCUGGCGACCGGCAAACGGGUGCGGAACACGUACGCAAUCUACCCAAAACUGGUGAAUAGCCCUCCGAAAGGAGGAUUAAUACACCGUAACCUAUUGAAGUGGCAUCACUUUAUUAGUAUAGCUCCGGCGGUUUUGGAUGAGCGUGCGGCUGAUUAGAUAGUUGGCGGGGUAACGGCCCACCAAGUCUGCGAUCAGUAACUGGUGUGAGAGCACGACCAGUCACACGGGCACUGAGACACGGGCCCGACUCCUACGGGAGGCAGCAGUAAGGAAUAUUGGUCAAUGGACGCAAGUCUGAACCAGCCAUGCCGCGUGAAGGAUGAAGGUCCUCUGGAUUGUAAACUUCUUUUAUAGGGGACGGAACCUCUUUUUCUAAAGAGACUGACGGUACCCUAGGAAUAAGCACCGGCUAACUCCGUGCCAGCAGCCGCGGUAAUACGGAGGGUGCAAGCGUUAUCCGGAUUCACUGGGUUUAAAGGGUGCGUAGGAGGGCAGGUAAGUCAGUGGUGAAAUCUCCAAGCUUAACUUGGAAACUGCCGUUGAUACUAUCUGUCUUGAAUACCGUGGAGGUGAGCGGAAUAUGUCAUGUAGCGGUGAAAUGCUUAGAUAUGACAUGGAACACCAAUUGCGAAGGCAGCUCACUACACGAAUAUUGACUCUGAGGCACGAAAGCGUGGGGAUCAAACAGGAUUAGAUACCCUGGUAG